CAACAAGAUGCGCAGAGUCGCUUGCUGGCGCGUUCUUCGUGACACGAGAAGCGCGUUAAGUGGUGUGCACAUGAAAAUUGUCGUCGUGUCUCCUAAAUUUUGUGCCAAGUGGCAGAUUCUCUUGUUUUUGGUUGUUUUCUUCUAU
Non-coding RNA from Caenorhabditis elegans, 145 nucleotides. NCBI's taxonomy places the organism in Eukaryota, Metazoa, Nematoda, Chromadorea, Rhabditida, Rhabditidae. The record is from Ensembl.